This 1041-nucleotide ribosomal RNA is filed under the name Triticum aestivum (bread wheat). RNAcentral describes it as "partial small subunit ribosomal RNA". Lineage: Eukaryota; Viridiplantae; Streptophyta; Magnoliopsida; Poales; Poaceae. The record is from RNAcentral.
AUGGCGGCGGCGGCGGAGGUGAGCAACAAGAGGGUGAUCCUGAAGCGCUACGUGACGGGGUUCCCCUCCGAGGACGACAUGGAGCUCGUCCCGGCGACGGCGCGCUUGGCCGUGCCGCGGGGGUCGAACGCCGUGGUGGUCAAGAACCUCUACCUCUCCUGCGACCCCUACCUGCGCAGCCGGAUGUCCGGGAACGACGAGCCCAGCCACGUCCCGGACUUCGUCCAGGGGGAGGUUUUAACUACUUUAGGCGUAAGCAAGGUGGUGGAAUCCGGGCACCAGGAUUACAAGCCCGGCGAUCUGGUGUGGGGGUUGACAGGAUGUGAAGAGUACACUUUGAUCACUAAUCUGGAGUCGCAUUUCAAGAUCAACCAUCCUGAAUUGCCGCUGUCAUACUACACAGGAGUUCUUGGCAUGCCUGGCCUUACUGCCUAUGUUGGAUUUUUUGACGUGGCCAAGCCAAAAAAGGGCGAGUAUGUCUUUGUGUCGGCAGCGUCAGGCGCCGUUGGACAGCUUGUCGGGCAGCUUGCCAAGAUUUCUGGCUGCUAUGUGGUUGGCAGUGCCGGUUCUGAUGAGAAGGUCAACCUCCUAAAAACAAAGUUUGGGUUUGAUGAUGCCUUCAACUACAAGAAGGAGCAGGACUUGGACGCCACACUGAAGAGAUGCUUCCCAGAGGGCAUCGACAUCUACUUCGAGAACGUGGGUGGCGCGAUGCUGGACGCGGUGCUUCUCAACAUGAGGCUGCAUGGGCGGGUGUCCGUGUGCGGGUUGAUCUCGCAGUACAACCUGGAGCAGAGCGAGGGCGUGCGCAACCUUUUCUGCAUCAUCACCAAGCGCAUCCGCAUGGAGGGGUUCAUCGUGACGGAUCACUACGGCACCUACAGAAAGUUCGAAGAGGAGAUGGCCGGCUACCUCAAGGACGGGAAGAUCACCUACGUGGAGGACGUCGCCGAGGGGAUCGAGAGCUUCCCGACGGCGCUCAUCGGGCUCUUCUACGGGCGCAACGUCGGAAAGCAGCUGGUGGCCGUCGCACGGGAGUGA